This is a long non-coding RNA of Pyrgilauda ruficollis (rufous-necked snowfinch), 661 nucleotides long. RefSeq lists it as uncharacterized. Lineage: Eukaryota; Metazoa; Chordata; Aves; Passeriformes; Passeridae. The record is from RefSeq and is a predicted model, not a curated record. The transcript has 3 exons.
GCCGAGCGGAGGCUGCACCGGCACCGGGGCCGAACCCAGCCAGCCCGGGCUGGGCCGCGGCUCCCAGCGCUGGCCAGGAAUCACGCUGCGUAUUAUUCUCAUGUACAAAACCAGUCAACAUACAGGAUGGGAUAUCAGAGGAACACUCAGAUGUAUAGAAACAACUGCCAGCGAGAGCAGAAAGGUAAAAAAUAAAUUCAUUAAAUACGCAUGAACCAUAAUUGUUGCUGCAUUUGGAUCCCAGGACAACUUGGUCAGAAGCCUCUCUGGUUGCAAGCGUCCAGCGACAUUUUCAGAGAUACGGCUAUAUUUUUAAUGACCCCUUUUUCAUCUUCUGUACCUCCUUGCAAAUGCAUUUUGAGGAUCUUGUUUGGAGUUGUAAAGGCUUGAUGUGCUCUAGUGAAAUUAUUCUGCCCUUAGUCCUAGAAAUGAGAGGUCUGCUCUUUGGACAUGACCUCCUGAGUGCUAACUCCCUUUGUGCUGCACAGUUGUGCCAAAGAGACGUGAGAGCAGGACCUGUUCUUAAUCCUGUGGGAAAUGGGUGUGAUUUCAGUGGAACUGGGAAAAGCUGAAUUUGUGUUUGUGAGACAUACAGUCUGAAACAGUAGUUCUCUGUUGAAACUUUGCAUUUGUCAGUCCAGUAUAAUUUUUUCAACAAUAA